UACGUAGGGGGCAAGCGUUGUCCGGAAUUAUUGGGCGUAAAGAGCGUGUAGGCGGUCCGGUAAGUCAGCUGUGAAAGUCCAGGGCUCAACCCUGGAAAGCCGGUGGAUACUGUCAGACUAGAGUGCGGAAGAGGCGAGUGGAAUUCCCGGUGUAGCGGUGAAAUGCGCAGAUAUCAGGAGGAACACCGGUGGCGAAGGCGGGUCUCUGGGCAACAACUGACGCUGAGGAGCGAAAGCGUGGGGAGCGAACAGG
This 253-nucleotide ribosomal RNA is filed under the name uncultured bacterium. RNAcentral's name for it is "partial 16S ribosomal RNA". It matches the Rfam family "Bacterial small subunit ribosomal RNA", at positions 524 to 776 of the family's 1533-position model. The record is from RNAcentral.